This 214-nucleotide long non-coding RNA is filed under the name Mytilus galloprovincialis (Mediterranean mussel). The record is from RNAcentral. Lineage: Eukaryota; Metazoa; Mollusca; Bivalvia; Mytilida; Mytilidae.
GCUUGGUCCGUUUCUGUGUGUGUUGCGUUUCGGUGUUUUGUCGUUGUUCUCCUCUUAUAUUUAAUGCGCUUCCCUCGGUUUUAGUUUGUUACCCCAAUUUCCUUUGUCUAAUAUGUUCUCCUAUUUAUUUGUAUUGUAGUCCUGUACUAUUAUGUUGUCAUUUCAAUGUUAUAUUUAAUUUUGCCAUUAAAGUGUGAGUGUUGGCAUGCCAAAA